Molecule: ribosomal RNA, 440 nt
Filed under: Artemisia environmental sample
Lineage: Eukaryota; Viridiplantae; Streptophyta; Magnoliopsida; Asterales; Asteraceae
Description: partial 18S ribosomal RNA
Rfam family: 5.8S ribosomal RNA (bases 296-440)
Source: RNAcentral
GCUUUCCGUAGGUGAACCUGCGGAAGGAUCAUUGUCGACCCUGCAAAGCCGAACGACCCGUGAACACGUAAAAACAUCCGAGUGUCGGUUGGAUCAAGCGCUUGUUUGAUGCAAUCGACGCUUUGUCGAUGCGCAUUCACUCGAGUCCGUCUGGACCCUUGUGAAUGUGUCAUUGGCGCAUUAACAACCCCCGGCACAAUGUGUGCCAAGGAAAACUAAACUCUAGAAGGCUCGUCUUCAUGUUGCCCCCGUUCGCGGUGUGCUCAUGGGGUGUGGCUUCUUUAUUAUCACAAACGACUCUCGGCAACGGAUAUCUCGGCUCACGCAUCGAUGAAGAACGUAGCAAAAUGCGAUACUUGGUGUGAAUUGCAGAAUCCCGUGAACCAUCGAGUUUUUGAACGCAAGUUGCGCCCGAAGCCUUUUGGCCGAGGGCACGUCUG